UACGUAGGGUGCGAGCGUUGUCCGGAAUUAUUGGGCGUAAAGGGCUCGUAGGCGGUUUGUCGCGUCGGGAGUGAAAUCCACUGGCUUAACUGGUGGCUUGCUUUCGAUACGGGCAGACUGGAGGUAUGCAGGGGAGAACGGAAUUCCUGGUGUAGCGGUGAAAUGCGUAGAUAUCUGGAGGAACACCGGUGGCGAAGGCGGCGUUCUGGACUGCAACUGACACUGAGAAACGAAAGCCAGGGUAGCAAACGGG
RNAcentral lists this ribosomal RNA (253 nucleotides) under uncultured bacterium. Its description in RNAcentral is "partial 16S ribosomal RNA". It matches the Rfam family "Bacterial small subunit ribosomal RNA", at positions 524 to 776 of the family's 1533-position model. The record is from RNAcentral.